This 10496-nucleotide long non-coding RNA is filed under the name Linum usitatissimum (flax). Its description in RNAcentral is "long non-coding RNA (LUSI_LNC002949)". The record is from RNAcentral. Lineage: Eukaryota; Viridiplantae; Streptophyta; Magnoliopsida; Malpighiales; Linaceae.
AAAAAAAAAAGGUUUCGGGAGGCCUCGGUGCCUUCCGAAUUUUUUUUCGAAAGGGAGUGGUCCCGGCCGGAAGCUCGUUUCGGCAAGGACUAGUGCCGGCCGGAAUGAGCCUCCAGCCCGGACCCCUCCCUUCCGAAAUUUUUUUUAGGGUUUUAUGGGUUAAAGUUUUAGGGUUUAACGUUUAUGAUUUAGAGUUUUAGAAUUUAGAGUCUAGGGUUUUAUGGUUUCGGAGUUCUAAGGUUAUAGGGUUUUAGGUUUAGAGUUAAGGGUUUAGAGUUUAGAGUUUAGGGUUUAGGAUUUAGGGUCCUAAGGGUUUAGGGUUUUAGAAUUUAGGGUUUGAGGGUUUAGGGUUAUAGGUACUAAAGUAAGGGUUUAGCAUUUAGAGUUUAAGGUUAAGCAUUUUAUGAUUUAGAGUUCUAGAGUUAAGGAUUUAGGGUUUAGCGUUUUAUGAUUUAGAGUUCUAGAGUUAAUGGUUUAGGGUUUUAGAAUUUAGAGUUUAGGGUUUGAUGGUUNNNNNNNNNNNNNNNNNNNNAUUUAGGAUACUAAAGUUAGGGUUUAGCGUUUAGAGUUUAAGGUUAAGCGUUUUAUGAUUUAGAGUUCUAGGGUUAAGGGUUUAGGGUUUAGCGUUUUAUGAUUUAGAGUUUCGGCAUAUACGAAAGUUCCGACGGAGGACCACUCGGCGGGCUUGAUCGAAAAAAUCGGCCGGCCGGGGCUCCCUUCGGCCGAAAUGACCUUUCGGCCGGGGCCUCUUGCGCCCGAUUUUUUCGAUCGAGUCCGAUUUGUAUUCACCGAAUUGUAAGGAAAAACGUACCGUGGGAGGUUUUCGAAAUAAAUAUUUUGAUAGUUUCGUCGGUACAACGUUUCUCGAAUUAUAAAGUUUGAUAGUUUCGUCGAUACAAAGUUUUUCGAAUUAGUAAAUUUAGAUAGUUUCGUCUUUACGAAAUUUAGGGCGUCAUAUAAUUCAAAAAUUAGGGCGUCAAAUAGUAGUCCCCUUUGUAAAAUGAUGCAUCUGUGGAGAGAGAAAGGGAGAGAAGCUAGGUUUUCGAUGCAUUUAAAUACUGAUGUUCUAAGCCAUUAGAAAUAAUUUUUUAAAAUCAGAUGAUUUCUAUUGUCUUUUUAUAGGUAAUCCAGACUAUCUAUUUUCAAUAUUUGGUGUGUUGUCGAUUCAUCUCCUACAGAAUCGGUUCACCGCUCCAACCGACUCGCCCAACCCCUCUCUUUCCAAAGCUAAAUAAUGUCGUUUGAGACCCAACCCCACAACGGUCAACAAAGAAGUUAAUGCUAAAUGCGAUUUUAUUGGGGCUGAUAUCUAAAAGCUUGUGUGUGGGGCCAACUCAGUUGGACAGAUUAAUUUUAAUAAUAAGCCAUCAAACUGUUCUUCACUCGCUUCAAAUUAAAUUUGCAUGCAACCAAUCCGCAUUACAAAACCCAAUUGUCUCAGGUUUCCAAUUAGUAGAGAUGAUAGAGUCAUACAAAGGAUGAGUAGUCUACAUAGAGAAUAAUUUAAAUGGUAUGGAUAAAUUCGUGAUAAUGCAAGCGAGAGUGGUCGAAACUAUAUUAAAUUUAACUGUCUUGACACAGGAGUAAAAUUCUUGUGAAAUUGAUUUAAAUUCUUUAGAGCCCGAUCCAGGUUUAAGAAAAAUAAUUUCUUCAUUUCAUCUAAAUGAUUCAUAUGCGAUUAGAAGAUUUUAUCUUUAAAGAAGAUCAUGUCAAUCUUGAGGGCAUAGUUUUCUAGUUAGAGAUACUUGUUAAAGAAAUCAAAGGUUCAAUCCUGCAUGGUUUGAUUAAUAUGAUUAGUUAAAGUAUAGUAUUAAGAAAGAUGUUGCAUACUGUUUGAUGUGUGAUUCAUACAGAAAUGAAAUCAUUAAGAAGAGUGGUGGUGAAACUUUCAUUGGUGAUGGCUUUAUCUUUUGGAGCAAGAAGGACAGACUUGAUAUCCACAUUAAUAAAAGUGUUCAUAGCGAUCACAAUAUAACUUCAAGAAAGUGUGUAGACUUGAUGAAGCAGGCACAAAGUAUUAGAGUUUCAUUAUUCAAGCAAUCAAACCAAACCAAGAAGGAUUACAAGAUUCAUUCAGAAGCUUCAAUUGAUUGUAUCAUGUAGCUUUUAAAAAUGGUUUAGCACUAUGUGAACAUGACGAGUCAGAAUCUUCAAAGAGAAAAGGUAACUUUUUUUAACUUCUCGAGUUUUAUGUUCGUGGCAAGAGCAUCUAGAAAAUGUUGUCUUGAAAACAUCCCCAAAAGAAUCUUCAAAGACUUCCCUAGAUGUGCAAAAAAAUAUUGUUAAUGCAAUAGCAACCGAAAUAACUAAGGCAAUCAUAAAAGAUCCUGGAGAUGAUCUUUUUACCGUAUUAGUGGAUGAGGCUAGUAAUGUUCAUGAUAAAGAGUAAAUUGCUAGAGUUUUGCGCUAUUUGGGUUCAAUGUCGUGGAUGGGUAGUUGGUCAUGUCUUGGGGACUUGUAAACAUUCUAGGUUGAACCCUAUAAUGUGUAGACUCCUCCUUGUGUGAAAAAACCGAGUAUUUUGUGCUAAAUUAUGUGCGAGGGCCACUAUUGGGACAGCCUCGAUGUGGCUGGCCCUAGUGGCCUCAGUUGAGUUGUGGCUGUGAUUGCUCUGGUGGACUUGGUGGCCCUGUUGGUGGCUGAUGGGCUGAACCUAAGACGAUGACUUGUGUCAGGGCCACCCAUCCCCCGAUGGCCUUGUUAGGCCUCUCCACUGAGGCCCCUCAUCGGUAGUCUCCGGGUGGAGUUUCUAUUGCUCCAGCAAAUUAAUGUCCCCAUGCUUUCCAUGUUCACGUGUUUUAUUGCUCAUCCUCAACCUCUGAAUGCUUGGGGGUGCCACCUAAUGGCGCGCAGGCAGCCUUCAUUUCAUAAUCCUUGAUGUUGUUAUGGUCCUCUCAUUACAUGGCCUUCCUUUAUAAGAGAAUCAUUCGAGCGCUAAAAAAUAACCUAACUAUCGAAGUAACUAGGUUCAAAUUCUCUAGGGUCUCAAGGUUGCAUUUACUAGUGAUGUAUGUAAUAGUCGGGUUAUCAAGUUUUGUGGUUUAGGUGCCACGAUUAUCAAAUUAUCAAUUUAAACUAAGCAAUUAAAGGACAAUGAACUAAGAUUGUAAGACUACACAAUUAGAGGUUUUAAUCAGGUCGGGAUGAAAUCACCCUAGGCUAUCCAGACAAACAAACAAUAGUCAACUCCUCCAUGCAAAAUAGGAUACCCACAAUUUAUCAUCGCAAUUCUUCUCUACUCGAAUUACGCUCUUUCGGGACCGCUAACUUAACUACCAAUCCUAGUAUCUCAGCAUGCUCAAUCGAGACGAGAUGUAAAACCUAUACAGUGAUUUACUAGAAGAGAAUUGCUCUCACGAUGGACUAGACUAAUCGGCCCCUUCCGAGGGUUAAUGACUAACCUAGUUGAUUAAUGUUCUAAGAUAAACAAGUUCUUUGAAGUCUAUACAAAUCUAACGAGAUUGUAUUCAAGUUGAUCAAAAAAGAACAAGAACAUAAACGAAAUUAAUUAUAAAUUGAAAUCCAUCCAACUCGCAUAAAUCUUUGAAGUCAAAUAAUCAUUUGUUUAUCUAGUAUCACCUAGGGAUCAUCUAUUCUAAGCACAAAGAAGUUUAGCUACUCAUGAGAUCGAAAAACAAAUCAGAUCCAACAAAGGAAAACAUUGAAACUAGGUUACAAACAUAAAUCUGAAAAACCUAAUUUCACCAAAGAACUUUGAAACACUUUAUUCGUCAAUCUUGAUUAUGUCUUCUGAUCCGAGCACCUUAAAUUUGAUGUAUUCUCGUCGAUCUAAAGUCUCAUUUUUUUCCAAAAGGGUCUGUUGAAAGAAUGAAGUACCAGUCUUUUUAUAGGUGAGAAAUCCUAAAGUAUGGCAGUCGUCAUAAUAUCAGUUGAAGCCCUCAUAGUGUGCGUCGCACAUUACGAUGGGGCUUCAGCGCAUAUUAGACCCAAAACUCAAAACUCAUCUUUUCCGUCGGUGUAAUCUGCACUAUAGACAGGUCUAAUGUGUGUCACACAUUACAACCAUCUUAGGCGCAUAUUACACUCAUCUUCAUAACUUUGUGUAUUCUUCAUCUUUCUCAUCCGUUCAUCUCAUCCACGCAUGUUGUAUUGUUUUGAUUAAUGUUUCAUCAUCAUCAUGUACCUAAAAUCUAACAAAAACACUCUAAAAUGAAAUCAAAUGGACCCCGAACAAGUCCAAGAUAAUAAAUCGAGAUAAAAGCUAAGAAUGCAUAAAACAACCAAAACUUCUACCCAAAGCUAUAGAAUUAUGCAUGGAGUGUUGCUUAAAUGAGGGCGAUGAACGCGAUGAAUCAAGCGUCAUCAAGUAACCCCCCACUUAAACUUUACUUGCCCUUAAGCAAAAAGCUUACAAUAGUCAUCAAACAUGUACAUCCAUAUGUACAUCUAUAACUGAUUCAACAUACUUGGAAAAAUUCUUCGUGAAACCAUAUUCCUCAAUUUAUCCCUAAGCUCUAAACAUAUAAGUGAACCUGUAGCAACAUAUCCAAUCUAUGAAAUAAAGGCCUCAUAAGAAGUUAUCAAACUUGCAACACAUCAUAAUGCACAUUAGACUACCCAUCUAGACUUCUCACCGGAUGCACAGCUUGAAGAUGAAGUUGAGAAACACUCACUCUCAAUGUUCAGGGACGAUGUUUAUUCACUCAUUCAUCUUUCUGUGGCGAGCUUCUAACACUUGAACGUAAAUAAAAUUUACAAUUACAUCAAGACAGUUUCAUAGAAGUCAAGAGGUCUUUUAUUGGGGUUGUAAUGUGGACAUAAUAGAAUAAAAGGGAAAAAGAAAUAUAUGAUGGUGUACACAUAGUAGUAGAUGACUCGGUCUACUCUAAAUACCUACAAUGUCGAUGCACUAUGCAAGGAUAUGAUUACAUCUAAGAGCUUAACUAGCUCGUCUAUCCUUUGAAAUUAAACUACUUAGAACUUUUCUGCUAUAUUUAUUCUUCUAGCUGUCACAUUUUUUUUUUCAUUUUUUUGCUUUUUCUUUUUUUGCUGAGACUGACUUUUUUACAAUUUGUCACCAUCCUUUUUUAGUUUUUUUCAUCAUUUGUUCUAUUUUUCUCGAAAUGAAAUACAACUAUACAUGAAUUAAUACAAAGGGAGACUAGAUAAUCCUGGAUUUUCUACACUUGAUAACUUCUACACUCCUAAACUUGACCAAAUUACAUGUCACAUAUGUACAUAAUUAUCAAUUGAUGGCUUGAAAGAAAUGGGAUACAGUAAAAUGACGGGGACAGAGAAAGAUUGUAUGGCUAUGAAUUGGUUAUGCCUAAGGGGGGUAGGACGGAAUGGAUAUUUAUGGGUGGAGCUUUUUAAAUGCCUCUAUCAUUCAAGUGUGUCACUACCGAGCAAGUUUAAUUUGGUAUCAUACAAGCAAUAAAUUAACAACCAACAAAGAAGACCAUUCAAAUUAAUUUAAGAACAAAUCUGAUGGUGAAGUAGAUUAUAUAUACUACAAAAUGAUCUUUUAGGCCUUGCAUUAUCUUGCUAGAUGGUAUAUCGUUAAUAUGCAUGCCCAAUCACGUCAAUUUGGAGAUUUCAAGCUACUAUAAACAAAUCAAAGUAGCUUUGAAAAAAAUAUCAAUAGACUUUGAUCACUGGCCUAAAUUCCUAUCAAAUCUAGGUUUUCAAACAAGUUAGCAAUUCAAGUAAACAAAUUAGUGGGAAAUUCACUAACCAUGCCAAGCAUUUGAUUCAAAGAUGCUUCCAUAAUGGCUUGAGUUUACAAAUGCAAUGUAGACACAACUACCCAACAAUACUAGCUGACUAGCAUCCUAUGCUUACCCACCCCAUACUUAGUUUGGACAGUGACCUCACUGAACGAAACAUAAAAGUAGCGUAGGAAUGCCUGGAAGCUGUGAAACACCAGAGAAGCAAGAGAACAUGAUCCAUGAACCUCAAGCCUAAAGGUGACGCUAACUCCUAAAAAUAAACAAACACACAAAAUCAAAAUUAAAAGUAAGAAGGAACAAGGACAAGUGCAUGAGUCCAACAUAGAAGAAAACUGGAUUUAAGAUCCAAAAAGAAAGAAAGAAAUGAAAAGUCCUUGGAGAAUCGAGGGAACCUGGUCACUGGUCUCGUUGAGGAGGUAAAAGUGCUGGGUAAUCCAACCUGGUCUGAUAGCAAGUGAGGUAGCAGAGGUACCUAAUUUGCUCCGUGUAGUGCUCCUGCUCCCUCCUAUGUUGCUUCUCUAAAUGGUAGCUCCUAUAAUGGAAGAGGCUGCUGAAAGUCCUGAAUUGUUGACAUCUCCUGAUCUACCUAAGCAGUAGCUGCUCACGGUCUGUGUCCUCUAUGACUGUGACCUUUAUCGUGACCCUUUCCCUGUCCCUGCUGAGCAAUCGGUGCAUCAUAACGUGCAUGUCGCUCAUAUGGUCUCUGGAUCAAUCAGUGGAAGGUCGAGAUCGGCUCCAAGCCACUUUGUCUCAGGUGCAGGAGGUUGAGCUACUCCAUCCCACCUAUUCUAGAGGCCCUUGUUAUGGAUAAUCAAAUAGACAAACAACCACGUGGGAGGGCCGCCAACAUUGCAUUCUGGCGAGUGUGGAAGAACAUCACGACAAACCAACCGAUGUGGAGGGAUCGUUGUUAUCUAAUCGAUCCUUAAGGAUGUGGUGGGAACCGCGCUCCUCCUUAUCCCUGUAGGCGAGACCAUAAAGCCAGAGCAAGUGGAAAAACUGAGCCAUUGGGUCGGGGAUAUGGGUGUAGGAGGACUCAGAUGUGUUGAACAUAACGUUUGAGUCAGGGUUGUUGGUAAUCUUCUCCAUAAUGCUCGGACCUCAUCCCAGAUAGUACUGUUGCAUGUCCUGCACAUGUAUUUGUUAGGGAACGUGUGCCAUCAAAGGUGUUUCCUCAUUUUCAGAAGACGAAGAGUCAGAACUUGGUGGGUUUGGAGAAGGAUGUUGGGUUUGGCUAGAGGAACCACAGGUGAGUAGACGUCCACGCUUUCUGCCACCAAAAACAGUUCAUAACAUAAACACAACAAAGGCCGCUCUACAGUUAUCUCAUCAACACAAUGCAACCACCUUUUUCAUCACAAUUCAUAUUUCUAAGCACAAAUGUCGAAUGACGACUCCAAAAAGGUUAAUAACACAAUGAAGUCAUAAUCCACCACCAAAAAACCAUCACAAGUCCCAAUUCAUCAUUCCAGACGCAAGUGCAUUCAUCAUGGCAAUUUCUGAAAAAAUACACUAAGGCCUCGUUUGGUAUGGGUGGUAUCUACUAUGAUAUCACCCAAUAUCAUGGUAUUCGAGAUAUCUCCGUGUCUCGGAGCGUGAAUACCAUGAUAUUCGAAGAUAUCAAUAUCGCAAAAAAUGUGAUAUUGAAUAUCCUCCGAAAAGACGGGUAUUGAAUAUCACUUCCAAUAUCACUUUGGCCUGUCACAAUUGCCCCUCUAGUUUGUAGAAAUUACAUGCCACGUCUCUUAAAUGUGUCCCUCUAUGUCAUCUUCUCUACUUUCUUUUGACAUAAAAAAAACAACGCAUAACACCCUCUUUCUUCUCUUUUGAGUGGAGGAAAUUGAAUCCAAUAAUUAUGUGGAAGGAAAUUGAAUACAAAUUAGAAGUUGGUUUUGAUUUUUUUGAGUUGCGGAGUUGGGGAAAACAAAGGAGGAGCAAAGGAAAAAAUCUACUAAGCAGUCAUUGAUAAAACUGUACGGUGCAUACUCCUAUGCUUCUAUCCCUCAAAAUCUGCAGAUAUAUAUGUGGAGGGGACAUGAGCAGUCACCAAGAUAUCAUUAUCUUCCUUAAGUUCCAACUCUAUCAAUAAUUAAAAGAGACAUGAAGGCAACAAAACUUUUGGGUUCUUGAAGAAGUUAGAGAAGAAAGAGAGUGAAUGGAAGGAAUUAUGUAGCGAGGGCAAUAGUGUAAUUGGAAAUAUACCCCUCAAUAUCACAUACCAAAUAUGCAUUUCUAAUUUACUCUACAAUAUAUCAAUAUCGUUCAAUAUCGCGAUAUCUCGACAAUCAUUAUAUUCAAGUUAUCGUGUAUACGAAACGAGGCCUAAGACUAUCAAUCAAAAUUCAUCUUUUCAUCCAGCAAAACUCAUCCAAUCAAGGUGAAAAUACUACCACAAUACUCCUACCAUACCAAAUUUCUUCAUUACACAAUCAAUGUUGAAAACCCUCAACUUCAAAAAAUUAAGGUUCAUCCUAUCAAGAUCAAUUCAUUCAAUUGGUAAAAUCAGGGCAAUGAAAGCAUUCAAAUGAAGGAGUGAUGACGUUCGAGUUACCAUGUUUAUCGUCUCCAUUUAACCGAUAUUUCAUGCAUAAUUGUAUUACUUUGAGUAGAAGAUUAUGAUGUUUAUGUAUUUUAAUCUAAUAUCUCAAUUUAUUAUCUUGGACCCGAUCGGGGUCCAUUUGAUGUCCUUUUGGAUUUUUUUAUAGAUUUCAGGUGCAUAACAACAUCAAGAUAUUCAUUAGAGAAACGCGACGUGUGUGUAUGGUCUAAAACAAGAAAGAUGAAGCAUUUGGACAUAUCGGGACAACUUAAGAAGUCCAAGAAGCACAAGAUCUCAACUUGAAAAGAAAAUGACAGUUUAGUACUUUGGUCAUAAGUCCUUGCUUAGAAGUCUGAUUUAUGCAGGGACUGCGGCAUUUGAAAGCUAUUUCAAUUUAAUACAACUUUGGUACAAUUACCUUCGGCCAUACCUGUCGAGAUAUAGGUCUAAAACUGUCGACAACAGAGCAGCGCGGCCGUCACAGGUGCAAAAUGUCAAACUCCUUUACCAACAAGGAACUAUUUUCCUAUUUAAAGAAUAUUCUUUCAUUCUUUGAUGGGGAGAUCACUUUCGACGAAAUUUGGGACAGAGAAUCCUUAUGGCACUUGGAUCGGCGACGACGUUAUCUAGAUCGACGAAUCGUUUUCUUCAACAAAACUCGGCGGAAUUAGGUUUUUGAGAUUUCUUCUUACGAAUCUGAUUUCAAUGUUUUCCUUUGUUGAUUUUGACUUGUUCUACAUCAGUAGCUCAACUCCUCAUUUCAUAGAAUAUAUGAACCCCAAGUUAUUCUCGAUGAACAAAUGAUACAUUAAUUAUUUUGGUUUAUGCAAGUUUGAUGCAUUUCAGUUUAUGAUUGAUUUUGAUUGGGUUCUUGUUCUUGCCUGACCAUGUUGAAUAGGUUCUUAUUAGAUAUUUGAGCGACUCGAAAGAGCUUGCUUAUCUUAGAACAUCGAAACCUAUCAAUUAGGUUAGUCCUUAAUCCAAAUAAUGGAGCGAAUAGACUAGUCUGUCGUCUAAGCAAUUCUCGUUUGUUUUACCGUCCACAAAACUUGUUAGACCGAUUAGCACUUUUCACAACUUUGAGUAGACACAACAUUGAAACCGUAGGGAAAUUUGACUCUAAUUACUUCGGUAGUUAGGUUAUUUUAGAGCGCGUAUUACAAGCAUGUUAAGGAGGAAUGAUCUUGGACACGUACUUGGCAUUAGUCAUGGUAAAUGAAUGAACGAUAUACGCAAAUUCGUUGAAAAUCGAAAAGGGGCUAAAACCGGGUGAAAAUCGGACUUCCCAAGCUCAAAACUCAAGCAAUCUUGAUGCAACUUGGUGGGUGAGAGAUGUAUGGCGGUCUCCAAUCGUCAUACACCUAGGCGUUGGCAACUCUAAACCGGUGGCGAAGGAGGUGGAGGAGUCUUGGUGUUUUGGGUAGAGUAAAAUGCGACUACGAGAUGAAAUUCAAGUUAUUACACCGGAUGGGUCUUGGUGUUUUGGGUGGAGAAGUCUUGGUGUUUUGGGUGGAGGAGUCUUGGUGUUUUGGUUUGUCCUAUUUUUUGGAUUUUUAACACUAAUGACUCAAAAUGUGUACUUGAGUCAAUCAUGACACAAUGAAAAGGGACUCGAUUCUCAACUACACAUUAAUAAUCAUGCAAUCUGACUACAAAAUAAAAUAAAAAUUAACUCUAUACAUGAAUUUUCUCCUUAGAAAUACAUUAUUUUUAAUAUCUUUGAGCUAAAUAAUAUGUGGCCUUUUACGCUGUUAUGUCGAGGUAGUGAACCUCGACUCCAACCGGGGGCAUGGAAGAUUUAGCAUAUUUCCACUUCUGGCAGGGAAUAGCUAACAAGGCGGUAUACAUAAAAGGCUUACAUAAAAGCAAGCUUAUUAUUGAUGACACGUGCAUGGAAGGAUGGAUGCCAGGAUACUAGAAAUCAAAGACCAGAAAAGACACCACAGAUCGUUGACAGAAAAAAAAAAGGAAAUUUAGGCAGUCUGGCGAGCAAGAGGCGACAGUAAUUAAUUAGUAGGAAUAAUUAAGAGUGGGUCUGAAUUCCAUGGUGUUCACUUCCAUCCCUUGAACUUUCCACCGUGACCAUGCUGACCGUACAUGCCACCAUGUUUCCCGAACUUGCCAUGCUUGAACUUUCCGUGACCGUAGCCUCCUCCAUGUCCAUAAGCUCCAUGGCCGUAGCCUCCAUGAGUAUGACCGUAGCCUCCACCGCCAUGCGAAGCGUGGUGAGGAGCACCAUAUGCUCCAGCUGUUCCCGCAAUCAUUGC